Molecule: ribosomal RNA, 301 nt
Filed under: uncultured bacterium
Lineage: Bacteria
Description: partial 16S ribosomal RNA
Rfam family: Bacterial small subunit ribosomal RNA
Source: RNAcentral
CAGCCGCCGCGGUAAAACGGAGGGUGCAAGCGUUAAUCGGAAUUACUGGGCGUAAAGCGCACGCAGGCGGUCUGACAAGUCAGAUGUGAAAUCCCCGGGCUUAACCUGGGAACUGCAUUUGAAACUGUCAGGCUGGAGUCUUGUAGAGGGGGGUGGAAUUCCAGGUGUAGCGGUGAAAUGCGUAGAGAUCUGGAGGAAUACCGGUGGCGAAGGCGGCCCCCUGGACAAAGACUGACGCUCAGGUGCGAAAGCGUGGGGAGCAAACAGGAUUAGAGACCCCAGUAGUCCUGUCUCUUAUACA